This 5545-nucleotide long non-coding RNA is filed under the name Chinchilla lanigera (long-tailed chinchilla). Its description in RNAcentral is "lncRNA (ENSCLAG00000024857.1)". Lineage: Eukaryota; Metazoa; Chordata; Mammalia; Rodentia; Chinchillidae. The record is from RNAcentral.
CAGUGCUGCAGGGAAAGGAGGUGGGGCCAGUAGGGGGAGGUGGGCUCGGGCCUCGUCUUUCCGCUUUUCGGCCAAUCCGUGCAGCGCCCCUGACAGAGACGCGGAGCCCGGUGCAGCAGACAGUUCAACUAUUUUCCCCUUUUCUGCCACGUCCCAACCAUUGACGCGAGCCCACUCUUCGAGUUGCGAUUGGGUGUGUCCAUUUUCCCCCCUGCAGAGGCUGCUGGCAUUUAUUGGACAGCACUGCCUAGGGGGCGGGGCUUACGUGCUCGCCCCGCCUCCACCGCGGCGCGAGGGGCGGGGCACGCCGCUGCCGCCUCUGCUUCCGCCGCCGCCGCCUGCCGCUGCGCGCUCGGCGGGGGAGGAGUCGGAGGCGGAGAAGAAGGCGGUGGUGGCGGGUGGCGGAUCGAGCGCCGUUCGCGUUCCGGAGCCGCUUCGCGUUUCGCUCGGGCCGCAGACCCCCUGGAGGAACCACAGGAUGGUUCUCCGCCGCUGGCGCCGCUGCAUCCAUCCCCCUUCCGGUUGGCGACGCCUGUCAGCGCCCGCCUGGCAGAUGCACCUUCAGUUUUGGCCUCCUUAGAAUUACUGCGUGUUAGUCGUUUUGCGCACAUUCAAAAUGACAUGCAAGCCUGAUGUAAAAUUUAACGAUAUAAAUAAAGAACUACGAGGUAAAACGUGAACAUUUCUUUUCAUUCUUCAGACCCACUCCAGUAUCUAGAUUUAACAAUUUAAUGUUCAUCUUUCAGAGUCGUUUUACAAAUUUACUUUUAAACACACACAUAUACAUGCAAAGGUGUUUUUCGUUUUGCGCAGGCGGUAUACCAAGCAUAUUUCUAUGUCACUUGCUUUGUUACUUAACUGUAUUUCUUGAACAUUCUUCAUUACAUGUAGAUCUCUAACAGUUUUUAAAGGCUAAUGAUGUUUCAUCAGUUUGAAUGGCUUCAUUUGACCAUUCCCUAUUGAAAGACAUUUACGUUAAUUGAUUUUUGAUUUUGCGAUUACAACUAAUGCUGUAUGGGGCCAGGAAUUUAGCUCAGCGGCACCAGUGCAUGCCUGGCAAGUGCAAGGUCCUGAGUUCCAUUCCUGGUACCAAAAAAAAAAAAAAAUGCCGCAACAAGUAAUGCUGCGUAAUAGACACAACUUUCUAACUUAUUAAUUGAUGCUUAAUUAUAAACCUUAAAUCCUUGAUUUUAAAAUAUUAAACAUUCUUUAUAAAAAGACUGUAAGUAAAAAAAUACAACUUCCAUUUCCCUUCCUUGUCAUACUUACAUCCCAAGAGUCAGUGUUGAGCAAGUCAGUAAACUUGCCGUCUGUGUGAAUAUUUCUGGGGCAUGGAUUCCUAGAAAUGGAAAUGGAAUUGGAAUUGCUUAAAGGGAUGCGUAUUUUAAAUUUUGAUAGCCGUUUAUCCCUUCUUAUUACUCUUUUCAAAAAUAUUCUCGACUCUUGGGCAUUCUUCCGGAUGAACGUUAGACUCAAUUUGUAGUUUGAAUUUUUUAAAACACUCAGCUAUUUUGAAUGAGGUUAUAUUGAAAUUUUAGAUUAAUUUGGAGAGCACUGAGUCCUCUUCCCAGGUCCACAGAGAUGUCACCAUUUUAUGUCUUGCGCUGUAUUCUUGGGGAAAGUUUAUCUCCCCACCCCAAUUGUGUGCAGUUCCUUCUCCAUAGUCUAGCUACUCAAUGGUACUAGAAAUUGUUCUUUCUCCUUUCUCUUAAGAGAGAGAGCUCUUGCUCUUGCUGUCUUCUAACUAUGGGAUAGCUUUUGAAUUUUCCUGUUAUCAUGUAAUAUUUUGAGUUGGUAGUUAUCUGAAAAUAUUCAGAGUUUUGUAGUUGGCUUUACAGUUUUUGUAACGUUUUUCUCCUUGCUUUGGCCGUUAUACACUGUACAAUGCUGAAUAGUAGCACUAUUGGCCAAAUCUUGGUAUUGUUUCUGACUUCAAGGGGAGUGCUUCUGAUGUCUUAGUAUGAACGAUGAUGCUUCCCAAAACUUUCUGAUAAACUGCCAAUAUUAAAGUAAAAUAUUUUCUUCUAUUCUUGGCUUUCCAAGAUAAUUUUAUGUUUUCAUUUUUGUUUACAUUUUUAAAAGCUGUAAAUAGUUACCAUUUCCUUAGAUUUUCUUUGACAUCUUUUGAGGUAGUUAUACACUCAUAACAGCAGUAUUCCCUGGUUAAUAGUUCCCUAAUAGAGUGUCUUUUUUAAAAAAAAAGAAGAUAUGGAGGAUAACUUAGAUAUGCCGAAAUAUUUAUUUAAAUGUACAAUUCAUUUUGUUUUGACAAAUGUGUACUUUUUGCAUACUACACUCAAGAUGGAAAAUAUUUUAAUCUCUCUCAAAACUUCCCUUGUGCCCUUCUGCAGUCAAAUGUUCACCCUCAGACUCAGGAAACCACUUAUCUUUUGCUCACUAUAAAUUGUUUCAUUUGUUCUAGAAUUUCAUACAAAUACACUUGUGUUUAUAGAUAGACAUCUAUCUACCUAUAUAUAUAUAAGUGGUUUUUAUGGUCUUUGUUUUUGUUGUGGUUUGCUCUUGAGACAGGGUCUUGCUGUGUAGUUCAGGCUGGCCUCAAGUUCACAGCAAUCCUUCUGCCUCAUCCACCUGAGUGCUGGGGUACAGGCAUGCAUCACCAUGCCCAGUGUAAUAUAUACACUUUUGCAUCUCAUUUUUCUCAGCCUGAUUUUUUUUUUGAGGAUCAUGUUGUGAUUUUUUUUUUUAAUUGGCUGAUCUCUGUUGUUGAGUAGUCUGUGAUUCUGAUUUACUUCAAUUUUUUGCUUAUAUCCUCUGUUUAUGGAUAUGUGGGUUAUUUCCAGUUUGGGAUUCUUAAUAAAGUUGCUAUGAACGUUCUUUCUGCGUUCUUGUGUGAAUAUGUUCUUACUGUUUUUGGUAAAUGCCUGCAAGCAGAAUAUGCAAGCUUGCGUGGUAAGUGAAUGUUUAAAUAAGAAAGUGCCAGACUUUUUCCAAAGUGGUGGUUCUGUUGUACUUGUCCACCAGUAUGAAAUUCCAGUUGCGCCCCCCCCCAUCCUCAUUAACACUUAGCUGUUUUAGCCUUUUUAAUGUUAGCCCUUCCGGUGGGUGUGUCACAGUGUCACACUGUGAUUUCAGCUUGCGUUUGCCUGAUGACUGAUGGCACUGAGAAUUUGUUCAUGUGAGUGUUUUCAUUCUAAAGUCUUUCUUCAGACCUUUGGGCCAUCUUUAAAAGUUAGGCAGUUUGUCUUCCUGAGUUUUGAGAAUUUUGUAUACAUUCUUUUUUUUUUUUUUGUAUACAUUCUUUAUAAAAUUCCUUUGACAGAUACGGAUCCAUAAACGUUGUGAUGAAACUUUACUAUAAAAGACAGGAACUUUACAAUUAAAUUUGAUUUAUCCAUAAUUUAUGGUUUGUGCUCCUGUGUUCUUAGAAUUACUUCCCCAGCGCAGAGUUGUGCAGGUUUUCUUUUGUUUCUUUUUACAGGUUUUACAGUUUUGGCUUUUAUGUCACGGUCUGGUACUGUUUUUGGCUUUGUGUGUGGUGUGGUAAGGAUGGAGGCUUGUUUUUUCAAAUGGUCGUGUAGUUCUUUUAGUGCUGCUUGUUAGGAACACUUUCCUUGUAUUAAAUUUGCUGAGAGUCAUUGGGCUUAUAUGUGUAUUUGUUUCUGGACUGUUCCUUUGAUCCUUGUGCUUAUUAUACUUUUGCUAAUACUGCAUUGCCAUGGUUGUUUUUACUUUAUAGUAAGUCUUGAAAUCAGGAAUUCUUAAGCUGUAUUCCUUUUAAAAAUCACUUCGGUUAUUCUGGUUCUUUUGCAUUCCCAUGAAACUUAAAGGCAUCUUGGACUGUGUUGAGUGUAUAGAUCAAUUUAGGAAGAAAUUAACAUCUUUUAUCAACAUUUUGUACUUCAACAUAGUUAUUGUUGGGCAUUUUGUUAGAUUUAUGACUAAUGUUCAUAAUUUUAUGCUAUUAUAAAUAACUCUUAAAUUUCUGUAUUCAGUUGUUAAACUGCUGCACAAGCAAUCCAAUCUUUUUGUUGCAUAUUGACCUUCAAUUUGCAGUUUACUAAGCUCACUUAUUCUAGCAGGAUUUUUUUUGCAGAGCCUUUGGAAUUUCCUUAGUCAUGUUAUUUGCAAAUACAGUGUUCAGAUAUUUUAAAAUUUGAAUGUUAACCCUCUCGCCUUUUUCCCUUAGUAUAUUGGUAAGUGCUCCAGCUUGAUGUUGAAGAGGUACAGUGAGAGCAGAUGUCCUUGCCUCGUACUGUAUCUGAUUUUAAGAGGAAAGUUUCUAGUUUUUCAUUAGUAAGUGCGAUAGAGUGAUGCUACAGACUCUUUUUGUUCUCAGAAUUCACAUGGUGAAACCUGAUUUCAGGUGCAAGCAUAUGUAGGGGAGGUUGAGGUUAUUAGAUCUUAAAUGGAUUAGUGCCCUUUUAAAAGAAGCCCCAGAGAGUGCCCUUUCCCCAUUCCACCUUGCAGCAAUGAGAAAACAGAGAAAAGACUGCCGUGCAAGAACCAAAAAGCAGCCCUUCACCCAGACUGAAUUCACGGGCAGCUUGAGCUUGAACUUCUUAGCCUCCAGACUAUGAAAACUAAAUAUCUGCCAUAUAGAAACAACCCAGGCCAUCUAGCUUGUUAUAGCAGCCUUCAUGGAAUAAAGCAAAUGGUCUUUUAUUAAGUACGUUGUCAUUCUGUUCUUGGAUUGCUCAGUGUUGCAGUUAUGGGUAGAUGUUGAGUUGGGUCAAAUGUUUUUAUUGAGGGAUCAUGUGCUUUAUUUUACAAGUUAAUUUUCAAAUGUAGAGUUAAGCUUUUCUUGGUGAUGGUAUUUUUUCAUUUUUUUAAAUUGGUGGAUACAUUUGUUUCUAUUUUUUGAAGGUUUCUCCUUUUCUUCAUCCAACUCCCUCCCUCGUCCAUUUUUGCAUGUGUGUUACAAAGGAUACCAUUUCGUAGAAUUCUUUGUGUUAGGUUUAUGCUGACUUCACAAGUUGGAGAGUGUUUCUUGUUAUAUUUCUAAAAAAAUGUAUGUAGAAUUAGUGUUGUUCUACAAAUGUUUACUAUAGUUUGUACUAACUUUUCUGAGCCUAAGAUUUUCUUUAUUGGAAGGUUUUAAAGUGUAAAUGCAAUUACUUUAAUAGGCAAAGCAUUGAUAGAGUUAUCUAUUUUUUUAAAAACUUUCAGUCUUUGACAGUGAUUCACUUCCACACUUUUAUGAGCAUUUUUUGUCUUUAAAGAAAUUUAUCUGUUUCAUUCAAUCGUUGCCAUAAGGUUGUAUCUUAACUAUCUUUUAAUAUCUGUGGCAUCGGUAGUGAUGUCUUCUCAGUUGUUCCUCAUAUUAGCAGUAUGUCUUUCAUCUUUAUUAGUUUGAUUUUAAGUUUAUCAUUAUCAAUUUUAUUAAUCUUUAUGAAGAACCACCUUUUAUUUGACUAUUUUUUUGUUUUUAGUUUGGUUGAUUGCUACUCUUUACUAUUGCUUUCUGUAUGCUUUGAGUUCAAAUUCCUCUAUGUUAAUUUCUUAAACUUAAGUCAUUUACUUCUUAAUCUUAAGUCACUGAUUUAAGACUAAUUUUAUUCUAAGCACUAUUGUAGAUAUUCACACA